RNAcentral lists this small RNA (206 nucleotides) under Arabidopsis thaliana (thale cress). Its description in RNAcentral is "ATSL228350". Lineage: Eukaryota; Viridiplantae; Streptophyta; Magnoliopsida; Brassicales; Brassicaceae. The record is from RNAcentral.
AUUGUCAUGAUCACAUAUAAAAACAAUAUAUGAUAUAUUGAUACAAUGUAUGCGUUUUGAAACUUGUCUAAAUUAAUUGUACAAACAAUUAUUUAUUCCAUAUAUUCUCUUGUCAUCAACUACACAAUCACAUCAUGAUAUGCUAGUAAUUCAAGUCACACUUUAAUUCUUUUCACUUGCAUAUAGCCAUAUAGAAUCUCAUAUUU